UCGAAUCCUCAACAAAACAAAGCAAAAUAAGGUGAUUGCCAUUUCAAGAAAAUAUCAUCUUGAACCCUCGUCUUUGCUAUCACACCUACAAACACUCUUAGAAGUUGAAUGUGUGUGUCAAUUAACUGAACAUAGGAACUGAAGUUCAUCAAGAAGAAGGGGUGGGUAAAAAUUAAAUUUUGAGCCUUAUAUCCUUUUGUUUAAAAAAACGUGAACCAG
RNAcentral lists this long non-coding RNA (219 nucleotides) under Lathyrus oleraceus (garden pea). RNAcentral describes it as "Pisum sativum (pea) long non-coding RNA (PSAT_LNC042255)". The record is from RNAcentral. Lineage: Eukaryota; Viridiplantae; Streptophyta; Magnoliopsida; Fabales; Fabaceae.